UUAGCGUGCAGUGAAAUUUUCAGGGGCUCAACCCUGAAACUGGUGCGCGAACUGCUUGACUAGAGUAUAUGAGGGGAACCUGGAAUUCCUGGUGUAGGAGUGGAAUCCGUAGAUAUCAGGAGGAACACCAAUGGCGUAGGCAGGGUUCUGGCAUAUUACUGACGCUAAGGCACGAAAGCGUGGGGAGCGAACGGGAUUAGAUACCCCGGUAGUCCACGCUGUAAACGAUGGAUGCUA
RNAcentral lists this ribosomal RNA (237 nucleotides) under uncultured Candidatus Saccharibacteria bacterium. RNAcentral's name for it is "partial 16S ribosomal RNA". It matches the Rfam family "Bacterial small subunit ribosomal RNA", at positions 584 to 818 of the family's 1533-position model. The record is from RNAcentral. Lineage: Bacteria; Candidatus Saccharimonadota.